RNAcentral lists this ribosomal RNA (253 nucleotides) under uncultured bacterium. Its description in RNAcentral is "partial 16S ribosomal RNA". It matches the Rfam family "Bacterial small subunit ribosomal RNA", at positions 524 to 776 of the family's 1533-position model. The record is from RNAcentral.
UACGGGGGGGGCAAGCGUUGUUCGGAAUUACUGGGCGUAAAGGGCUCGUAGGCGGCCAACUAAGUCAGACGUGAAAUCCCCAGGCUCAACCUGGGAACUGCGUCUGAUACUGGAUGGCUUGAAUCCGGGAGAGGGAUGCAGAAUUCCAGGUGUAGCGGUGAAAUGCGUAGAUAUCUGGAGGAACACCGAUGGCGAAGGCAGCCCCCUGGGUCAACACUGACGCUCAUGCACGAAAGCGUGGGGAGCAAACAGG